Molecule: unclassified non-coding RNA, 200 nt
Filed under: soil metagenome
Description: partial contains internal transcribed spacer 2 and large subunit ribosomal RNA
Source: RNAcentral
CCUGUUCGAGCGUCAUUUCAACCCUCACGCCUGGCGUGGUGUUGGGCCCUGCCCGUCGCGGCCGGCCCUAAACUCAGUGGCGGCACCGUCGGGUCCUAAGCGUAGUACUGCUCUCGCUCUGGGCCCCGGCGGCCGUACGCCAGCAACCCCAACUUUCUAUGGUUGACCUCGGAUCAGGUAGGGAUACCCGCUGAACUUAA